UUGACUGAGCGGCGGACGGGUGAGUAACGCGUGGGUAACCUGCCUCAUACAGGGGGAUAACAGUUAGAAAUGACUGCUAAUACCGCAUAAGACCACAGGGCCGCAUGGCCCGGUGGUAAAAACUCCGGUGGUAUGAGAUGGACCCGCGUCUGAUUAGCUGGUUGGUGGGGUAACGGCCUACCAAGGCGACGAUCAGUAGCCGACCUGAGAGGGUGACCGGCCACAUUGGGACUGAGACACGGCCCAAACUCCUACGGGAGGCAGCAG
Molecule: ribosomal RNA, 267 nt
Filed under: uncultured bacterium
Lineage: Bacteria
Description: partial 16S ribosomal RNA
Rfam family: Bacterial small subunit ribosomal RNA
Source: RNAcentral